Cervus hanglu yarkandensis (Yarkand deer) is the source of this 58-nucleotide microRNA precursor. Lineage: Eukaryota; Metazoa; Chordata; Mammalia; Artiodactyla; Cervidae. The record is from Ensembl.
ACAGGCACGGCCAGUUUGAGCAUUUUCACUGAAUUGCCAAACCAGUUGUGCCUGUAGA